CCUACGGGAGGCAGCAGUGAGGAAUAUUGGUCAAUGGUCGGGAGACUGAACCAGCCAAGCCGCGUGAAGGCUGAAGGUACAGAGUAUCGUAACCCUCUUUUGUCAGGGAACAAAGGCGGGGACGUGUCCCCGGCUGAGUGUACCUGAAGAAAAAGCAUCGGCUAACUCCGUGCCAGCAGCCGCGGUAAUACGGAGGAUGCGAGCGUUAUCCGGAUUUAUUGGGGUACAGGGGUGCGCAGGCGGUCUGUUAAGUCAGCGGUCAAAGCCCGGGGCUCAACCCCGGCAGGCCGUUGAAACUGGCAGUCUCGAGUUGGCGAGAGGUAUGCGGAAUGCGCGGUGUAGCGGUGAAAUGCAUAGAUAUCGCGCAGAACUCCGAUUGCGAAGGCAGCAUGCCGGCUCCACACUGACGCUGAGGCACGAAAGCGUGGGUAUCGAACAGGAUUAGAUACCCUUGUAGUC
This 459-nucleotide ribosomal RNA is filed under the name uncultured bacterium. RNAcentral describes it as "partial 16S ribosomal RNA". It matches the Rfam family "Bacterial small subunit ribosomal RNA", at positions 338 to 795 of the family's 1533-position model. The record is from RNAcentral.